This 271-nucleotide ribosomal RNA is filed under the name uncultured Rikenellaceae bacterium. Its description in RNAcentral is "partial 16S ribosomal RNA". It matches the Rfam family "Bacterial small subunit ribosomal RNA", at positions 1114 to 1382 of the family's 1533-position model. Lineage: Bacteria; Pseudomonadati; Bacteroidota; Bacteroidia; Bacteroidales; Rikenellaceae. The record is from RNAcentral.
GUUGCCAGCGGGUCAAGCCGGGAACUCUAACGGAACUGCCAGCGUAAGCUGUGAGGAAGGCGGGGAUGACGUCAAAUCAGCACGGCCCUUACGUCCAGGGCUACACACGUGUUACAAUGGCCGGUACAGAGGGCAGCCACCCCGCGAGGGGGCGCGAAUCCCGAAAGCCGGUCGCAGUUCGGAUCGGAGUCUGGAACCCGACUCCGUGAAGCUGGAUUCGCUAGUAAUCGCGCAUCAGCCAUGGCCGCGGUCGAAUACGUUCCCGGGCCUU